UUAACCAUAUUGGUUCUAAUUUCAAAAAGACAAAAAAAAAAGAACUAACAACCCCAUUCAAAGUUUUGGCCUUUUUAUGCCUUCUUAUUAAAUUUUUGUUAAAAGCAAUUCACCAAUUUCUUUAAAAUUUUUACCAUGAACUACGAGGUUUUGAUCCCUCAUUUUUAUGUUGGUACGUAGGCACAAGACCGAAAAUCUUUU
RNAcentral lists this long non-coding RNA (201 nucleotides) under Lathyrus oleraceus (garden pea). RNAcentral describes it as "Pisum sativum (pea) long non-coding RNA (PSAT_LNC007625)". The record is from RNAcentral. Lineage: Eukaryota; Viridiplantae; Streptophyta; Magnoliopsida; Fabales; Fabaceae.